GAGCGAUCACACACGCCCCCCUUCGCAGCGCUUCCUGAGAGAACGCGGGGAGGGGAGGGGGGAGCCGCUGGGCCCACUGCAAAACCUAGGGCUCCGAACAGCGCCAAAGGCGUAAGGAAAGGCGGGGAUCAAGAGGCUGGCCCGCUGUCCCCCACCCAGUCCAGCACCCCCAACCCGAAGACUCGACUCUCAGACCACCCAGGGUCCAAGGAGCACAGUAAGGCGCGGCUGCCAAGCCUUCAGACCCCGUCGCAAGAGACUCCAGGGAGCAGGUCUUUCCGGAUGAGUCACUACAGAGCACCCCCCAAAUCCUCCGGUGCCUCUGUGCAAAUCCUCCGGUGCCUCUGCACAGCCCGUGGCUCUAGCCCAACUCCGCGCACCCCUUCCGAUUCCCGGGGGAGAAAAAGAGAAGGGGGGCGAUCGCUCUCUCACUGGGCGCUUCACCUCUACUGACAGAUGCUGGACUGGACCCUCAUUUAAAAACAGGGGUCACUCACUUUCGGUCGAUACUACAAAUAAACAAAGCCAGGCGCACCCCGCGCGCCCCGCCGGAAAGCAGCCCAUUCUGGGCUAGGACAACUUCCCCCAGUCAGAAAAUUAACACAUUCCUCUCGCGGCGGCUCAGCCCCUCGCCCCAGGGAAGCGAAGGGGAGGAGGCCAGGGGCUGAACUUCAGGGGUAAAUUCGGGGCCCGAGCUACAAAGCAGGAACCUGGGACACCCGCCCCCACCCCAGAGAACAUCCCCAUUCUCCCUCCCUGGCUUUGCAUGCCGUUGGCCCACGCGGGAUUCCGGAGGCACCCCGACUCUUGGAGGCUGGGGAGGGAGUUAGAGGCCGCGGGGCGCGGUGAAGGUGGGGGAAGAUACUUGGACGGAAAAAAAAAGGUCAAACUAGAUCAGCCCGCUAGGCACCCCGCGGGUAGCGGGGGCGAGAAGCCGGAGGGGAAAUGCAGAAGUGGCCGCCUCCUCCAGCAAGUGGAGGAGGUUCGGCCACGCGCGGUCGAGGGCACUCGGAGCAGCUGUUGUCGCCCCAAAUACAAGGAAAUGAGUGGGGUCUGGUGCGGGGAGCGCGCACCAGCGAUCUCCAAGCAGCCGCCCCUGCAGGCAGACGCCCGCCGACACCGAGAGUGAUCUGCGACCGAGCAUACUGCGGCUUGGGUAUAACAGCGGCCACCUAACGAUCACCGGCGCUAGGUCUCCCAGCUUCCGGGGCUCCGCGGCUCAGGCUGCGGGCGGCCUCCGCCCCUCCCAAACUCAG
This 1256-nucleotide long non-coding RNA is filed under the name Fukomys damarensis (Damara mole-rat). RNAcentral's name for it is "lncRNA (ENSFDAG00000023048.1)". Lineage: Eukaryota; Metazoa; Chordata; Mammalia; Rodentia; Bathyergidae. The record is from RNAcentral.